AUUGAACGCUGGCGGCAGGCUUAAUACAUGACAAGUCGAACGGUAACAGCAGAAAAGCUUGCUUUUUUGGCUGACGAGUGGCGGACGGGUGAGUAAUACCUAGGAAACUGCCUAAACGAGGGGGAUAACAUUUGGAAACGAGUGCUAAUACCGCAUAUGCUCACAGCAACACAUGUUGCAGUGAGGAAAGGAGUAAUCCGCUAAUAGAUGGGCUUGCGUCUGAUUAGCUAGUUGGUGGGGUAACGGCCUACCAAGUCGACGAUCAGUAGCCGGACUGAGAGGUUGAUCGGCCACAUUGGGACUGAGACACGGCCCAGACUCCUACGGGAGGCAGCAGUGGGGAAUAUUGCACAAUGGGGGAAACCCUGAUGCAGCGACGCCGCGUGAGGGAAGAAGGUAUUCGUAUUGUAAACCUCUGUCUUCGGGGACGAUAAUGACGGUACCCGAGGAGGAAGCACCGGCUAACUACGUG
This 472-nucleotide ribosomal RNA is filed under the name uncultured bacterium. RNAcentral describes it as "bacterial SSU rRNA". It matches the Rfam family "Bacterial small subunit ribosomal RNA", at positions 30 to 507 of the family's 1533-position model. The record is from RNAcentral.